GGAGGCGGCGACGCCCCCCGACUUGAUCUGCGAAAGCUGAUCAUGCCGCCUCCGCGCCUCAUUCUCGAUGAUGCCACUUCAAAGCGAUCCGAAAGGGUCGCUU
This is a non-coding RNA of Brevundimonas sp. KM4, 103 nucleotides long. NCBI's taxonomy places the organism in Bacteria, Pseudomonadati, Pseudomonadota, Alphaproteobacteria, Caulobacterales, Caulobacteraceae. The record is from Rfam.